GACCUGAACUCAGACGUGGUCACCCGCUGAACUUAAGCAUAU
Molecule: ribosomal RNA, 42 nt
Filed under: Scutellonema brachyurus
Lineage: Eukaryota; Metazoa; Nematoda; Chromadorea; Rhabditida; Hoplolaimidae
Description: Scutellonema brachyurum partial 28S ribosomal RNA
Source: RNAcentral